RNAcentral lists this ribosomal RNA (253 nucleotides) under uncultured bacterium. RNAcentral's name for it is "partial 16S ribosomal RNA". It matches the Rfam family "Bacterial small subunit ribosomal RNA", at positions 524 to 776 of the family's 1533-position model. The record is from RNAcentral.
UACGGAGGAUCCGAGCGUUAUCCGGAUUUAUUGGGUUUAAAGGGUGCGUAGGCGGCCUAUUAAGUCAGGGGUGAAAGACGGUAGCUUAACUAUCGCAGUGCCUUUGAUACUGAUGGGCUUGAAUGUACUUGAGGUAGGCGGAAUGUGACAAGUAGCGGUGAAAUGCAUAGAUAUGUCACAGAACACCCAUUGCGAAGGCAGCUUACUACACGAUCAUUGACGCUGAGGCACGAAAGCGUGGGGAGCAAACAGG